GACGAACGCUGGCGGCGUGCUUAACACAUGCAAGUCGAGCGGUAAGGCCCUUUCGGGGGGUACACGAGCGGCGAACGGGUGAGUAACACGUGGGUGACCUGCCCUCAGCUCUGGGAUAAGCCUGGGAAACUGGGUCUAAUACCGGAUAUGACUCCAUGACGCAUGUUGUGGGGUGGAAAGCCUUGUGCGGCUGAGGAUGGGCCCGCGGCCUAUCAGCUUGUUGGUGGGGNGAUGGCCUACCAAGGCGACGACGGGUAGCCGGCCUGAGAGGGCGACCGGCCACACUGGGACUGAGACACGGCCCAGACUCCUACGGGAGGCAGCAGUGGGGAAUCUUGCGCAAUGGGCGAAAGCCUGACGCAGCGACGCCGCGUGAGGGAUGACGGCCU
Molecule: ribosomal RNA, 389 nt
Filed under: uncultured bacterium
Lineage: Bacteria
Description: bacterial SSU rRNA
Rfam family: Bacterial small subunit ribosomal RNA
Source: RNAcentral